GUGUGGAAUAUUGGACAAUGGGGGGAACCCUGAUCCAGCCAUGCCGCGUGUGUGAAGAAGGCCUUUUGGUUGUAAAGCACUUUAAGCGAGGAGGAGGCUACCGAGAUUAAUACUCUUGGAUAGUGGACGUUACUCGCAGAAUAAGCACCGGCUAACUCUGUGCCAGCAGCCGCGGUAAUACAGAGGGUGCAAGCGUUAAUCGGAUUUACUGGGCGUAAAGCGCGCGUAGGUGGCCAAUUAAGUCAAAUGUGAAAUCCCCGAGCUUAACUUGGGAAUUGCAUUCGAUACUGGUUGGCUAGAGUAUGGGAGAGGAUGGUAGAAUUCCAGGUGUAGCGGUGAAAUGCGUAGAGAUCUGGAGGAAUACCGAUGGCGAAGGCAGCCAUCUGGCCUAAUACUGACACUGAGGUGCGAAAGCAUGGGGAGCAAACAGGAUUAGAUACCCGAGUAGUCC
This 451-nucleotide ribosomal RNA is filed under the name uncultured bacterium. RNAcentral describes it as "partial 16S ribosomal RNA". It matches the Rfam family "Bacterial small subunit ribosomal RNA", at positions 354 to 796 of the family's 1533-position model. The record is from RNAcentral.